RNAcentral lists this long non-coding RNA (818 nucleotides) under Crocodylus porosus (Australian saltwater crocodile). RNAcentral describes it as "lncRNA (ENSCPRG00005003755.1)". Lineage: Eukaryota; Metazoa; Chordata; Crocodylia; Crocodylidae. The record is from RNAcentral.
GGGAAAUGUGGAAAUAUUCCUCAUAUUCAGAUGUCACUUUCCAUUCAGGAGCUGCAGGUGCCAAUAUGGAGGCAUCUCUAGUUUUUUCUCCUGCAUCUUUUAUUCCACAAUCCAUAAUGACAAACUUGACCAUAUACAUUAUGGGGCGGGCUAUAAAUCUUCUAGAGCUUGGUGUACGGUUAGAGAAUGCAGAAGAUCUCAUACAGACGAUAUUUGGCCAACAAUCUACUUCUUUCAGUGAAUACUUGUUUUCAACUACUGACGAAAGAAACCCCAAAUCAGAAAUUCCUGUGGAAAUAGCUAGAACAGCCAAGCAGAAGAGACUGACUUCAAAGAAAUACAGUGCUGGAGAACGUCUUGUGACUAAGGCUGGAAAAUCCAAGUUAAGUAAAGCAAAGCAGAGUUGCCCAGGUGGAAAGUAUAAUAAGAUGAGUGAAUUAGUGAAAAAGUUCACUGAUCGGCUGGGACGAAAGAAGGAGUUGAAAUGUGAACUAAGCAUAAAGAUCUUUGGAAAUGAACUCAGCUUUUUGGACUGUGAAGAUAUAAGAAAGAAAGUGAAGCAUUAUUCCCUGAACCUGGCGGAACUAGCUGUCAAGCUUCUAAAGGGUCAAGAGAUCCAGUUUAAUAAAAGACUGAGUUUGGCCACUGAAGAACUGCUCUUCCCAGCAAUUUCAGGUUUUCCAGUUCAGUUGGUUUUAAAUGCCUCUGCAGCAAUCAAUGUAAAAAUCAAAGGGGAUGUGGAUUUCAAGCACCGAUCAAAUUUUUUCAUUAAUGGAUAUAUCAAGCCAAGGUAUGCUUUGGUUAACAGAGACCAGAUC